UAGUGGGCUGGUCUACAUCAGGCCUCUCAAACUUAAAUGCCUCUGGGCACUAGUCUGGCCACACUGCCUUUGCCUAAGGGGAGGGCAAUCAGAGAGCAUGCACUGUCUGUCAGCUUUGAAGUUCAAUACAAAAACGACAUACUCACCGCAAGCCAAACAAAAUCUCACUGAAGAUUAGACUUGGCCCAAGGCCACGAAUUCGCAACCCCUUGGACAUCAGGAAAGAAUUUCUGAUAAAAGAGGGAUUUGAGCCUGGUUUGGAUAAAGACAGACAGCCAAGGACUCCAGGUCUGUGAUGGGGGCAUCACUUUCCUUUGCAAGAAGGUAAUUCCACUGCCCUGGGUAGGAGCCUGUGGGGCGGUUGUAAAGCCACCCUGAAAUGAACUGAUCUAGUUCUGGCUGGGUGGCCUUCCCUGAGAGCUUUUACUUUUCUGUUCCUCGUUUGCAAAAUGGGGGAUCCUGUUGUCCUGGUGCCCAACCCACUCCUCCCCCUGCAGUUAACUUUCCAAUCGGCCUCAGUGUCCAUGUCAACAAAAUGGGUCAAGACUCCUCUCCAUUCUCCCAGUUUCUUCCAGCAGAGAUCUCAAGGGCUAUAAGCUUGCAGAAGAUCGACUUCUGCACCUUCGGGCUCCCGGGCAGGUCUCCAAGCCCCUCAAUCUCCCCUCUCGCAUAGCUCUCCUGGGACUGAGGCGCAGUCCUAGAGGACGGCAGGAGGAGGUGGCGGGCGGAGCUCAAGCGCGGUCUUAUGGCGACUGGGGACCAGGGAGGGAUGGCCUAGUUACGGCGCGUUGGCCCAGCGCAGCAGAGCGCCGCGGAUGAGAGCGGCGGCGGGUAAUUAGAACGCAUUAGUCGUGCCCUUGCAAUCCUGUAAUUUCUCCGCGCGCUCCGGGUGUGUUGUAUAGGAGGUGAAGCGAUGCGGGCUCGGCUCUGAGUCAGACUCUCGGAAGCCCGGGUGGGGACGCAGGGGGUGGCCAAGGCCGCGGAGAAGGGACACCUGCCGCGUGGGACACCAGAGCCUUUCCCUGGCGUGAAGUCACCUGUCCCGGGGCUACUCGAGGUGCGGCCCACUUCCGCGGAGACGAGGGCCGGGCAGAUGGGGGGCGUGGCAAGCGCCCCCUCCCGCCUUUAGGGGGCGCUCCUCCGUCCAGUAGAUCAUCCCGGGGCAUCUAGUCCGGUUCCCUGCGUCCAGCCAUGUGGCCUGCUCCCUGCGCACAGGUGAACUGAAAGAGUUGCAGAUGCAGUGCGCCAGGGAGGGACCCCCACCUCCCCAAAUUCCGUCAGAAACGGGCAACUGACCUAGGGCAGCAAUAGAAAAAAAUGUCAGAGACUUCAGAAGGGAAAGCCCUGGCUGAAUCGCUAGACGUCUAAAUCGUGUCUGCAACAGCCUGGGGGCUCGUGAAAAUUCCGUGGGGCUGUGUAUCUGUACCUUCAGACUCAAAGUUUCCUGAAACCCAAUGCUUCAGAAUGGAGUGAGGCGCUGCUGGUGACCGGGUGCUACUCUGGAUUGGCUUGGGGGCAAGACCUGGGCGGGGGUGGCUACCUGCCCUGCCCCUACCUGAUUGGCACAACAGAUAGCUGAGUGCUGGCUUCCAACCCUGGAAAGGGAUGGGUCAGCCUGAACCUUUCCACCCAGGCAAAUGGGGUGUAGGGGAUGGGAACUCUGGUGGACAGGCCUUCUAGGAACAUUCCUAGAAGGAGCCCUGGGAACAGGCACUGCUGCUGGGAGCCACUGCCUCGGCCUACCAGCCUGUGAGCAGCUCAGCAGAUGCCCUUGUCCUUCUCCCAGCUCAGCCUCUGGAUCCCCUAGGUAAAGCCCCGCUUGCUGUCCCUGCUGACCCCAAAGCCCUCUUCAACCACAGCAGGGAACCGGGCCUGCAGCCCCUGUGCUACCUUGCUGCCUUUCUCAGCCCAAGCUGCAGGGGCUCCCAGCCAUGGAUACAGGAGCACACACACAUGCUCAUAUACACUGGUGUCUUAUAGGUACAACCAGAGACCCCACCGUGGGUAGCUCCUCACAAACACAAGCACACACACACUCAGUACUCCCUCACAUGUAUACAUACCCACACAUUGAUGUACACUCACAAUUUCACACAUAGACCCACUCCUGUACACUCACACACAAAUAUGCAGUCAAAAUCCCUGUUGUUGGUUGAAUUGUAUCCUCCAAAAGAUAUGUUGGAGUCCAAACCCCCAGUACCUGGGAAUGUGACCUUAGUUGGAAAUAGGGUUAAGAUGAGAUCUUACUGGAUUGGCGGGGGGACCCUAAAUCCAAUGACCUUUUAGGGAGAGAGAUUUGUAGACACAGAGACAUGAAGACACACAGGGAAGAAGGUCGUCUGAAGAUGGAGGCAGAGAUUGGAGUGAUACAGCUACGAGCCAGGGAGCCCCAAAGAUUGCCUGUAACCGCCAGAAGCUAGAAGAGAGACAGUAUUCUCCUCCAGAGCCUCCAAAAGGAGCAAAUCCUACUGACAGCUUGCCUUUGGACUCUGGCCUCCUUAAUCUUGGAAAAUAAAUUGUUUUAAGCCACUUGUUAUAGCUGCCCUAGGAAAUGAAUACAAACACACACACAUACACCCUGGCUGGCUCUAGGCUCAGUGAUGAGGUCGGUGGAGUUCCUCCUCAGGGACUCCUUGUUCUCUGUCCUCCUUCCCCUGUGACUGGUCUGGUGGAUUUCAGAAAAGUGCAUGGCCCAGGGCAGGAGCUCGAGAGAUUUUAAUCCCUCCUUUUCCCCCUUAAGUUCUUAAUGAGGCAUCCUCCUCAAAAUAUGCUCUGAAGAAUGAGUUGCCAUGUUUAUGUGCACCAAAAGACGUGUCUAAGAAUGCUGUGGCAGCUUUAAUCAUAUAUUAAUUACAAACUGGAAACCACCCAAAUGCCCAUCAACAGCAGAAUAGAUGAAAAACUGUGGUGCAGCUGCUCCUCGGAAGGCUCCUAAGCCACAGAAAGCAAGAACGAGUCUGCAGGGAGAACUUGGGAGGCCCUCCUGGACCUCAGAUUGGACAGCCAAACGCACAGAGUGCAUGCCCCAGGAGUACAUUUGGAUGAGGUUUAAGGACAGGAAGGUCAGUUGGUGGUGAUACAGUCAGAAUAGUGGUUGCCU
Manis pentadactyla (Chinese pangolin) is the source of this 3100-nucleotide long non-coding RNA. RefSeq lists it as uncharacterized. The transcript has 3 exons. The record is from RefSeq and is a predicted model, not a curated record. NCBI's taxonomy places the organism in Eukaryota, Metazoa, Chordata, Mammalia, Pholidota, Manidae.